Musa acuminata AAA Group (dessert banana) is the source of this 1739-nucleotide RNA transcript. RefSeq lists it as uncharacterized. The transcript is spliced from 13 exons. The record is from RefSeq and is a predicted model, not a curated record. NCBI's taxonomy places the organism in Eukaryota, Viridiplantae, Streptophyta, Magnoliopsida, Zingiberales, Musaceae.
AAAUUUUGACGCGAGACCGGUCGCACCACCUCGUCCCUCUUCGCCAACCGGAGCGAGUCCUCCUAAUUCUUCGUCUCGAAUAGAUCCCUCGGCUAAACAGAACGCGACGCCCCCAGAUCUCACGAUGAUGUCCCCAAAGCCUCCCAUGUCCGAUGCCCGAGCUGCUCGCUCGACGUCUUCCAGUUCCAGGCACACUCCCUUGCAGAUAAUACAUGUUAUUGGGAACUUUAUGAGAAUAUGGUCUGUUUACUCCUUGUAUCACUAUCUAUCGCAUCAAGGAGAUAGUGUAGUAGCUUUUAUUUUCAGUUGCUUGGUUCCAGCUUCUAUUAUUUUCCUGGUGCUGCAAAAGCCUUGGAAAGGGAGGCCUUUACCCAAUUCACAGAUAAUACCGACUGUCAUUAAUGGAGGAAUAAUGGCAUUAUAUUUCAUAUUAUGGGGAAAAGGACUUUUAUCAUGUGGACCACUAAUUGCUCUACUGGCCGAGUAUGCAGGUGCUGUUCUUGGGGUCUUAUCUGCAGCAUUAUAUGGACGGCAAGUCCAUAUUUGGAAAAAGGUGGGUGGACUCGUUGCAAUGCUAGCUUCCUACUACUUCUUGUCAAAAGGAUGGGCUACAAGAACAAACUCACCAUUUUAUAGCUUUGGCAAAGAACCACUAGUGCAAGCAAAACAAUCUUUAGGAUUUAAAGAAAUGGCAGUACCCAUUUCUGCUGGAAUUUUAUCGGCUUUGAGACGGGUGAUUGCUCGCCGUGUGUCACUCAAGAAUCAACUUAAAAGGCGACUUCAUGCAAUAUGUAUUGCUUCUGCAACGUGCUUUCUUUUUCCUCUUGCCAUGUGGGACACUAUCUUAGGAUCAACAUCUGAUAGCAUUGUUAAGUUUCAGCUUCCAAGUUGGGCAUACUUGAGUACUGUCUUCUUUGGAAUCAUCUUUGUAUUCUAUGCCGACAACAUUGCGGAAGAAAGAUUGCAUCUUGUUUUCUCUUCUCCACGGCAUCUCAUGAUUUCAGGAGGGUCUAUCAUCCUUAUGGAGAUCUUAUACCAAAUGGAUUUUUCCCUAAUAGGUUUUGUGACUUGCUCUUUAAUAUUGGGAUUUGGUAUUUUUGAAGCAACCUCUUUGGGAAGAUCAAGAAGAGGUCCUUUAGAAUCUCAAGAUGCUUCAGAGGAGGCUUUUCAGAACCAACUGCAGAUGUCUUCACUUCCUAGCUGAUCACAGUAAUCCUUGAUGCCACAUGCACUAGAAGGCAGGGAUUGGUCCAAUGCCACUCCGUUACAAAGUCGCUGUCUCUUGCACCUGGAAAUUCACACUGGGAAUUACUCAUCCCUUUUCCAGCUGGUGCAAAUUUAUGUAUCAGCAUGCACUUAAUUGUCUCGCUAGGGAAGUUAGUCGACUGGAACAAGUUCCACUGACAUCACCAAAUUUGGAUUUAUUUUCAUAGCUGUUCUGUCAUUAUCAUAUCAAUUUGAAUUUGGUGGCGAAGUUGAUGCAUAAUUUUCUUUCCUGAGUAACAUACAGAAGAUUCAUUACGCCUCACCGUAAAUUUUCUCAACCAGUUACCGAGAUAGUCAAGUACAGAGCAGUGCAUAUGAUUUUGCUCAAAACUGAAUUUUCAUCUGUGCGAAAUGAACUCAUGAUUACCAUAGUUUUAGGAUAUUGAUUAGAGCAAUUGUUCCUAUUCUUAUGUACAAUAACUGCCCUGUAAAAAUCUUGGGGUUUAUACUGCAAAAGAGCACUUGAAUGUUCA